Molecule: transfer RNA, 72 nt
Filed under: Anoxybacillus sp. KU2-6(11)
Lineage: Bacteria; Bacillati; Bacillota; Bacilli; Caryophanales; Anoxybacillaceae
Description: tRNA-Glu
Rfam family: tRNA
About the family: Transfer RNA (tRNA) molecules are approximately 80 nucleotides in length.
Source: RNAcentral
GGCCCGUUGGUCAAGUGGUUAAGACACCGCCCUUUCACGGCGGUAACACGGGUUCGAAUCCCGUACGGGGUC